This 309-nucleotide ribosomal RNA is filed under the name Araneus diadematus (European garden spider). Its description in RNAcentral is "partial 12S ribosomal RNA". Lineage: Eukaryota; Metazoa; Arthropoda; Arachnida; Araneae; Araneidae. The record is from RNAcentral.
GGUGGCCAUUUUAUUUUAUUAGAGGAACCUGUCUUUUAAUCGAUUCUCCACGAUAUUUUUCACUUUUAUUUAUAUUUUAUAUACCUCCAUCCCAAGGAUUAAUAUAUAUAUAUAUAUUCUUCUCUAAAUAGAUUUCCUAAAAAGUUAGGUAAAGGUGUAAACUAUAUGAAAGAUAAGAUGGGUUACUUUAAACACUAUUUAAGAAUAUUUAAUUAAAAUUAUUUUUGAAAAAGGAUUUAUUAGUAAUUAUUUUAAUAAUAUUUUUAAAUGAACCUAAUAAAAAAUGUGCACACAUCGCCCGUCGCUCUU